Molecule: non-coding RNA, 95 nt
Filed under: Chloropicon mariensis
Lineage: Eukaryota; Viridiplantae; Chlorophyta; Chloropicophyceae; Chloropicales; Chloropicaceae
Source: RNAcentral
CAGAGAGAGAGAUAGAGAGAGAGAAGGGGAAAGAGGAGAGAGAAGGAGAAAAUAUUUUUCUUUCCUCUUUCUUUUCCGUUUUUUUUUUUUCUUUU